Molecule: RNA transcript, 511 nt
Organism: Symphalangus syndactylus (siamang)
Lineage: Eukaryota; Metazoa; Chordata; Mammalia; Primates; Hylobatidae
Source: RefSeq, a predicted model, not a curated record
CUCAGGGCACCUCUGUCUGGAAUGGCCCGCGGGUGUUCUGACUGCUCCGGUCCACCGUGAUCCUGAGACUCUCUAAGCUCAGCUCCUGGCCCUCUUGGAGUGGCACCACCAUGCCUGGUCCCCAGCCUCCCAGAGCACCCAAGGGGGACAGCUGUGGUGUCCCUGCUACCAAGCACAGGCUCAGGAACCUGGCUCAGAGCUGCUCCUCAGCGCCAGCUGCUAGACUGGACAAGAUUUUAGGCAAGGCACGGCCACACACCAGGAGAUGAAACCCGCUUUCCCAACCUCUCCAAACAGAAGAGAGACUUGGCUGAAGGUCUAAAUAAUGCCUGAGGCCUCCAGGAGGGCCAGCGUGUCUGGUCAGGACCACGGUGCCCCACGCAGUGUUUGUUCGCCGGGGAAGCCACUCCUCUGCUACUGCACUCUGGAAGAGACUCCUGGGUCUCACAAGGAGGUGGAGGUGUCCCCAGAGGCCCUUUAAGAUGUGUGGUUAGAGAAGGCUUAAAUUUGC